Molecule: ribosomal RNA, 234 nt
Filed under: uncultured bacterium
Lineage: Bacteria
Description: partial 16S ribosomal RNA
Rfam family: Bacterial small subunit ribosomal RNA
Source: RNAcentral
GCGCAUGCAGGUGGUUUUGUUUAAGUCAGAUGUGAAAGCCCGGGGCUCAACCUCGGAAAUUGCAUUUUGAAACUGGCAGACUAGAGUACUGUAGAGGGGGUAGAAUUUCAGGUGUAGCGGUGAAAUGCGUAGAGAUCUGAAGGAAUACCCGGUGGCGAAGGCGGCCCCCUGGACAGAUACUGACACUCAGAUGCGAAAGCGUGGGGAGCAAACAGGAUUUAGAUACCCUGGUAG